Molecule: ribosomal RNA, 450 nt
Filed under: Micrococcus sp. MG2-F5
Lineage: Bacteria; Bacillati; Actinomycetota; Actinomycetes; Micrococcales; Micrococcaceae
Description: bacterial SSU rRNA
Rfam family: Bacterial small subunit ribosomal RNA
Source: RNAcentral
ACAGGUGGUGCAUGGUGGUCGUCAGCUCGUGUCGUGAGAUGUUGGGUUAAGUACCCGCAACGAGCGCAACCCUCGUUAACAUGUUGCCAGCACGUCGUGGUGGGGACUCAUGGGAGACUGCCGGGGUCAACUCGGAGGAAGGUGAGGACGACGUCAAAUCAUCAUGCCCCUUAUGUCUUGGGCUUCACGCAUGCUACAAUGGCCGGUACAAUGGGUAGCGAUACUGUGAGGUGGAGCUAAUCCCAAAAAGCCGGUCUCAGUUCGGAUUGGGGUCUGCAACUCGACCCCAUGAAGUCGGAGUCGCUAGUAAUCGCAGAUCAGCAACGUUGCGGUGAAUACGUUCCCGGUCCUUGUACACACCGCCGGUCAAGUCAGGGAGGUUGGUAACACCGGAAGCCGGUGGGCUAACCCUUGUGGGGGGAGCCGUAGAAGGUAGGACCAGCGAUUGGA